Molecule: long non-coding RNA, 1263 nt
Filed under: Mus musculus (house mouse)
Lineage: Eukaryota; Metazoa; Chordata; Mammalia; Rodentia; Muridae
Description: long non-coding RNA chr1:137999975-138001238
Source: RNAcentral
ACAUUAUAUCCAUCAUGUGUAGGCAUAAUGACCAAACUAUAGUAAAAUGAAUUAAGAGUCUUUAUAAUGAAUUUAAUCUCAUGAAGAUGAUGUAAAAAUUAUUAGGUAGAUGAAAAAUUGAAAACAUAUGGGGCUCAUCUCUCUGCUCCCUGGAUUAAUUUUGAAUGUCCCAGGAGCUCCACUUAGUUGCUAACCCCACUUCUAUUUUCCUAUUAGAUUCUCAGAAUGAACACAGACUUCCUUAAAGCAACAUGUCCAGGCUGACUUCAGUCCUUCAUGUAGAAGACUCUCCCUGGUCUGAGAAGAGCAACUGUAUUUGAAUUUGCAAUAAAAGAGCUUCCUAUGUAGUUUCAACGAAAAUGAACUACUGGAUUAUCCUGGAGCCAAGGCAAUUACAGGAAAGUAGGUACUGGUGACAGACAGAGAGUCUACUGGGACCCAAUCAGUAUUCUGAGUUGGUGGUGAUCAGAAAACCUGAAAGAGCAUUGGAAGGAAGAAGAAGGCCAAGUUGAACUCAUCAACUCACUUCACUCACCAAUGUAAGAUUUAAUAGAUUGUCCUCAUCAUUACUGUCUAAUCAUUAUUAUAAAUCUAUGCUAUUUUAUGCUUUAGUUUUUAGUAGACGAUCAUAAUCUAUCAGCUUAAAACUAAACAUACCCAACUUCAAGUACUGGAUACAUUUCUCACCAGGUCAGCAAUUUUGUCAAGACUUCUUAAGGUUUCUAGACGCCAGUCUCAUUUUAAACCUGAGUAUUAACACCUUUCUUGUGAAACACUAGAAGACACAAUUUGAUCUGUUUCACAGUAGACUUGGGCACAUACCUUUCAUUCUUUUUGGUCUUUUCAGGGAUCAGGUGCUGAAGGCUACCAGUUAAAUGUCACUUAAGGCCUCCCUGUUCUGCGAGAACAAGGGUUGUAUGAACUUGGAAGCUGGAAUGAACCUCAACAUAACCAGAACAAACCAGACACACCAAAGACUCAUUAUUACAAAUAAUCCCUUGAGGUACAGAGAGCUAAUUGAAAAGUAUUUUUAUUAAAUGAUUUCAUGCAUUGAAAUUUCACCAAUUAUCAGAUAUCAAAAUGCAAAAUUAUGUAGUAUAAAGGUGAUAUAACAGUUAAUAGUAGUGUUUAAUUUGGUUUUGUGUGCCGAAACAAUUUUAAACUUUGAACUGGCUUAGAAAGUAAAAAAAUAGACUCACUAUAAAUACUGAUCUUAAGAUAAUGCUUGAUAGACAACUAAAAAGUCAAGACCCUGCCUGGCAU